UACGAGAGGUCCAAACGUUAUUCGGAAUUACUGGGCGUAAAGGGCUCGUAGGCGGCCAACUAAGUCAGACGUGAAAUCCCUCGGCUUAACCGGGGAACUGCAUCUGAUACUGGAUGGCUUGAGUUCGGGAGAGGGAUGCGGAAUUCCAGGUGUAGCGGUGAAAUGCGUAGAUAUCUGGAGGAACACCGGUGGCGAAGGCGGCAUCCUGGACCGAUACUGACGCUGAGGAGCGAAAGCCAGGGGAGCAAACGGG
This 253-nucleotide ribosomal RNA is filed under the name uncultured bacterium. RNAcentral describes it as "partial 16S ribosomal RNA". It matches the Rfam family "Bacterial small subunit ribosomal RNA", at positions 524 to 776 of the family's 1533-position model. The record is from RNAcentral.